GGUUAAACGCUGGCGGCAUGCCUUACACAUGCAGUCGAGCGGAUGCCGGGACUUUGCUCCUUCGUUCAGCGGCGGACGGGUGAGUAAUGCCUCGGAAUCUGCCUGGUAGUGGGGGAUAACGUUUCGAAAGGAAGGCUAAUACCGCAUACGUCCUACGGGAGAAAGCAGGGGACCUUCGGGCCUUGCGCUAUCUGAUGAGCCUAUGUCGGAUUAGCUAGUUGGUGGGGUAAUGGCUCACCAAGGCGACGAUCCGUAACUGGUCUGAGAGGAUGAUCAGUCACACUGGAACUGAGACACGGUCCAGACUCCUACGGGAGGCAGCAGUGGGGAAUUUUGGACAAUGGGCGAAAGCCUGAUCCAGCCAUGCCGCGUGUGUGAAGAAGGUCUUCGGAUUGUAAAGCUCUUUCGGUUGGGAGGAAGGGCUGUAAGCUAAUACCUUGCUGUGAUAACGUUACCGACAGAAUAAGCACCGGCUAACUCUGUGCCAGCCGCCGCGGUA
Molecule: ribosomal RNA, 499 nt
Filed under: bacterium enrichment culture clone MAOB 63
Lineage: Bacteria
Description: bacterial SSU rRNA
Rfam family: Bacterial small subunit ribosomal RNA
Source: RNAcentral